AUGUUAAGAAAUGAGUCACUGAUGCAGUGCGGGUGUCAAAUCGAACUUCAUUUUCACUUUCCUGUGUCCCUCUCCAGGAGACAGAGCAUCACAUGCAGCAAACUGUGUGAACAGAAGUAUAAUGAGACAGAGCCUAGACACUGUGUGCAUAGCAGCAGUAAUCUACCUGGAAACAAAAAGCUACCAAGAAGUGGAUGUUUAGCAGAAGAUGAAAAGCUGAAACAUCAGAAACACCUUUGUUUCACGGAAAUAACACUAAUUUAGCAAGAGGAAAAAGCUGGCUUUGGAGAAGAAAAAGGUGGCCCCAGCAAACCACAGGUAACAAACAGCUCCUUUGCCCUGGAGUUGAAAGCGAGUAGAAUGAACAGUCAGAGUACCUCAGGGGCUAAAGAGCAUGUUUGGGAUUUGUUCUUGUGAUUAUUUUUAGAUGAUAGUUAGCCUUGUGCUUCUCGUUUCUGGAAUAAGAGUAAUAUUUCUGGGAGACAUUAUAAAAUGUUAGGAAGAUCACAGACUUUUAGACAGAGGGAUCUCAGUAUAAAUUCUAGCUUCUGGCGAGCUAUUUAGUCCCUUUAAGCCUCAGUUUUCUCAACUGUAAAAUGGAGACAAAACAUAUCUACUUUGCAAUGAAAGUGGAAGGAUAAAGGUAGUAACAAUAGCACUUCGCAGGCAGGAGGCACUGUAAGCUUAUUUCACUCAUGUUAUUAGCACACAACCAUCUGAGCUAGGUUCUAUUGGCUCUGCCAUCUUACACAUGGAGUAACUUCUUUUUUUAACUUUUAUUUAAUGAAUAUAAAUUUCCAAAGUACAGCUUAUGGAUUACAAUGGCUUCCCCCCCAUAACUUCCCUCCCACCCACAACCCUCCCCUUUCCCGCUCCCUCUCCCCUUCCAUUCACAUCAAGAUUCAUUUUCAAUUCUCUUUAUAUACAGAAGAUCAGUUUAGCAUAUAUUAAGUAAAGAUUUCAAUAGUUUGCACCCACAUAGAAACACAAAGUGAAAAAUACUGUUUGAGGACUAGUUAUAGCAUUAAAUCACACUGUACAGCACAUUAAGGACAGAGAUCCUACAUGAGGAGUAAGUGCACAGUGACUCCUGCUGUUGACUUAACAAAUUGACACUCUUAUUUUAUGGCAUCAGUAAUCACCCUAGGCUCUUGUCAUGAGUUGCCAAGGCUAUGGAAGCCUUUUGAGUUCACCGACUCUGAUCAUAUUUAGGCAAGGUCGUAGUCAGAACGGAAGUUCUCUCCUCCCUUCAGAGAAAGGUACC
RNAcentral lists this long non-coding RNA (1264 nucleotides) under Oryctolagus cuniculus (rabbit). RNAcentral's name for it is "lncRNA (ENSOCUG00000030674.1)". Lineage: Eukaryota; Metazoa; Chordata; Mammalia; Lagomorpha; Leporidae. The record is from RNAcentral.